RNAcentral lists this ribosomal RNA (1038 nucleotides) under Corynebacterium xerosis. Its description in RNAcentral is "bacterial SSU rRNA". It matches the Rfam family "Bacterial small subunit ribosomal RNA", at positions 41 to 1090 of the family's 1533-position model. The record is from RNAcentral. Lineage: Bacteria; Bacillati; Actinomycetota; Actinomycetes; Mycobacteriales; Corynebacteriaceae.
GGGGUGCUUACCAUGCAAGUCGAACGGUAAGGCCCACAGCUUGCUGGGGUACACGAGUGGCGAACGGGUGAGUAACACGUGGGUGACCUGCCCCGCACUUCGGGAUAAGCCUGGGAAACUGGGUCUAAUACCGGAUAGGACCGCACCGUGAGGGUGUGGUGGAAAGUUUUUCGGUGUGGGAUGGGCCCGCGGCCUAUCAGCUUGUUGGUGGGGUAAUGGCCUACCAAGGCGGCGACGGGUAGCCGGCCUGAGAGGGUGGACGGCCACAUUGGGACUGAGACACGGCCCAGACUCCUACGGGAGGCAGCAGUGGGGAAUAUUGCACAAUGGGCGGAAGCCUGAUGCAGCGACGCCGCGUGGGGGAUGACGGCCUUCGGGUUGUAAACUCCUUUCACCAUCGACGAAGGUUUUCUGACGGUAGAUGGAGAAGAAGCACCGGCUAACUACGUGCCAGCAGCCGCGGUAAUACGUAGGGUGCGAGCGUUGUCCGGAAUUACUGGGCGUAAAGAGCUCGUAGGUGGUUUGUCGCGUCGUCUGUGAAAUUCCGGGGCUUAACUCCGGGCGUGCAGGCGAUACGGGCAUAACUUGAGUACUGUAGGGGAGACUGGAAUUCCUGGUGUAGCGGUGAAAUGCGCAGAUAUCAGGAGGAACACCGGUGGCGAAGGCGGGUCUCUGGGCAGUAACUGACGCUGAGGAGCGAAAGCAUGGGUAGCGAACAGGAUUAGAUACCCUGGUAGUCCAUGCCGUAAACGGUGGGCGCUAGGUGUAGGGGUCUUCCACGACUUCUGUGCCGUAGCUAACGCAUUAAGCGCCCCGCCUGGGGAGUACGGCCGCAAGGCUAAAACUCAAAGGAAUUGACGGGGGCCCGCACAAGCGGCGGAGCAUGUGGAUUAAUUUCGAUGCAACGCGAAGAACCUUACCUGGGCUUGACAUAUACGGGACCGGGCUCAGAGAUGGUCCUUCCCUUGUGGCUCGUAUACAGGUGGUGCAUGGGUUGUCGUCAGCUCGUGUCGUGAGAAUGUUGGGGUUUAGUCCCGC